This is a small nuclear RNA of Cannabis sativa, 196 nucleotides long. RefSeq annotates it as U2 spliceosomal RNA. Lineage: Eukaryota; Viridiplantae; Streptophyta; Magnoliopsida; Rosales; Cannabaceae. The record is from RefSeq and is a predicted model, not a curated record. The transcript has a single exon.
AUACCUUUCUCGGCCUUUUGGCUAAGAUCAAGUGUAGUAUCUGUUCUUAUCAGUUUAAUAUCUGAUAUGUGGGCCAAUGGCCCACACGAUAUUAAAUUUAUUUUUUGAGGGGGAAAGCCCAUUCCAGUAGCUUGCUACUCGGGCUUUCAAGCGUCGCCUAAGCUUUGCACUAUCGCUUGGGCCUGGCGCACCCCAC